RNAcentral lists this long non-coding RNA (840 nucleotides) under Pan troglodytes (chimpanzee). Its description in RNAcentral is "long non-coding RNA NONPTRT012070". Lineage: Eukaryota; Metazoa; Chordata; Mammalia; Primates; Hominidae. The record is from RNAcentral.
GGGGCCGAGUCCGGGCUGCCGGCUGCGCUCAGGAGGCGGGCCUUGGGAGGCGGAGCUUAGGGAGGGUCCGGUGUCGGGAGGGACCAAGGGACUGGGAGGCGGAUUGGGGCUGGGCUCAGGGGCCGAGAGGCAGCUGGGCUUGGGGCGGGGCCGAGACGGAGCGAGGGGUCCAGGGUGUGAGAAACGGGGAGGGGUUUGAGGAGGGGAUUGGAGUGUGGCUCAAGUUCGGGAGGCGUUACCUGCGGAGGGUUUGAGGCAGGCCCAGGAGCGAGCCCACGGUCUGCCGACGCGGGGCCAGCAGCGGGCCCCAGGAUCCGGAGCUUCGGGCGGGGCCGAGUCCAGCUCUCUGCCCGCAGGAGACAAGGAAAACCAACGGGAACAGCCCAGUAAAGGCACCAUUCCCCAUUUUACAGCUUGGGAAUCUGAGUUACAGAGCUUGUCUGCACUGAGUCAACAGGAGCAAAUGCUAGAUCAGCUCCUCCCACUGAAGAAUUGGAGUAUAUUUCUCCAGCCCCUAAUGUUGCAUUUAGUCACGUGUCUAGCUUUGGCCACUGGAAUAUUAAUCUACAUGACCAAAAACUUGGAAAGUGUGCAUUCAUUUGUGCUCACUCACUCCUGCUAUCACCAUGAGAACAAGCCCAGGCCAGACUGCUGCUUCCAGCAGAAGAUAAGAGACACCAAGAGCAAAGUCAAGCUUCCCAGACACGCUCAUGCCAGAUUAACCAAUCCUCAGCUGACCCAUAGAUCCAUGAAAAUAAACAAUUGUUGUAUUAAGCCACUGAGAUUUGGAGUGACUUGUUAUGCAGCAUUUUAUGACAACAACUAACUGAUACAAGGGUC